CAGGUCAAUAUUCCUGUACCGAUGUGUAGUGCGAUGUGGGGACGGAGAAGGUUAGCUCAGCCAACUGUUGGACAUGUUGGUUCAAGCCUGUAGUCGUGCCUGGUAGGCAAAUCCGCCGGGCUAAGAUGAGGGGUGAUAACGAGGAAGCUUGCUUCCGAAGUGAGUGAUACCCUGCUUCCAGGAAAAGCCACUAAGCUUCAGCUGCACACGACCGUACCGCAAACCGACACUGGUGCGCGAGAUGAGUAUUCUAAGGCGCUUGAGAGAACUGCGGAGAAGGAACUCGGCAAAUUGAUACCGUAACUUCGGGAGAAGGUAUGCCCUAAGUAAGUGAAGUUGUACAAAUGGAGCUGAACAGGGUUGCAAAAAAUCGGUGGCUGCGACUGUUUAAUAAAAACACAGCACUCUGCAAACACGAAAGUAGGACGUAUAGGGUGU
Molecule: ribosomal RNA, 438 nt
Filed under: uncultured bacterium
Lineage: Bacteria
Description: bacterial LSU rRNA
Rfam family: Bacterial large subunit ribosomal RNA
Source: RNAcentral